This 243-nucleotide unclassified non-coding RNA is filed under the name Hevea brasiliensis (rubber tree). The record is from RNAcentral. Lineage: Eukaryota; Viridiplantae; Streptophyta; Magnoliopsida; Malpighiales; Euphorbiaceae.
GCUUCUUGUUCUUCUUCUUCUUCUUCCACUGCUGGCAUUCCAUAACACAUCCAAAAAAAAAUCCUCUUUCUCAUUUUGGACAUGCACAAGUUCCAACUUUACUUCUACCCAUCGAUUGCUCUUUGUCUUUCUUUCCCAGUUCGUGUAAGAGUCAAAAGUUUCGACACAAAUCUGAGUAAAAAAUGUCUUGGCAUAUGCAGACCAGUUGAAAGGAGAAAUUUUGGCGGUCGCUUUCUGUGGGAG